RNAcentral lists this ribosomal RNA (408 nucleotides) under uncultured bacterium. Its description in RNAcentral is "partial 16S ribosomal RNA". It matches the Rfam family "Bacterial small subunit ribosomal RNA", at positions 28 to 526 of the family's 1533-position model. The record is from RNAcentral.
GACGAACGCUGGCGGCGUGCUUAACACAUGCAAGUCGAACGAAGUGGCGAACGGGUGAGUAACGCGUAAUCAACCUGCCCUUCAGAGGGGGUCAACAGUUGGAAACGACGGCAAAUACCGCAUACUGAGGGAGGGGUUUGCGUGGGAUUCGCUAGUUGGGGGGGUAACGGCCCACCAAGGCGAGGGUCAGUAGCCGGGCUGAGAGGCGUAACGGGCACAACUGGACUGGGAAACGGGCCAGACUUCUACGGGGGGCAGCAGUGGGGAAACUUCCGCAAUGGACGAAAGUCUGACGGAGCAACGCCGCGUGAGUGAUGACGGCUGUCGGGUUGUUAAGCUCUGUUAAUCGGGACGCGGUACCGGAAUAGAAAGCCACGGCUAACUACGUGCCAGCAGCCGCGGUAAUAC